This 51-nucleotide non-coding RNA is filed under the name Gloeochaete wittrockiana. Lineage: Eukaryota; Glaucocystophyceae; Gloeochaetales; Gloeochaetaceae. The record is from RNAcentral.
CGAGGACACCACCAGCUUCCUGAAAGUACCCGCAGACCCCGUCACUUUCAG